GCCUGGGUGGCUCAGUUGGUUGAGUGUCUGACUUCAGCUCAGGUCAUGAUCUCACCAUUUGUGGGUUCGAGCCCCAUUUUGGGCU
This 85-nucleotide transfer RNA is filed under the name Felis catus (domestic cat). It matches the Rfam family "tRNA". From Rfam's summary of the family: Transfer RNA (tRNA) molecules are approximately 80 nucleotides in length. Lineage: Eukaryota; Metazoa; Chordata; Mammalia; Carnivora; Felidae. The record is from Rfam by way of RNAcentral.